Molecule: long non-coding RNA, 2018 nt
Organism: Amphiprion ocellaris (clown anemonefish)
Lineage: Eukaryota; Metazoa; Chordata; Actinopteri; Pomacentridae
Source: Ensembl
AGACAAUAAAGAAAUGACAUCAGUGAUUAUUUAGCAAUACAAAGGAAAUAAAAGAUAGCACGUGUAUUAGUCAUUGGAUCAUAGUUUUACAAUCAGCUUUACAGCCAUAAAUGUGCAGCCAAAGAGACAAAGUCAGUCACUCAGUCACUUCCUCCACCAGUAAACAGCCUCAACACUCUGCACAUCAACAGGUCGACAACUGAGUCCAACACAUCAUGGAGAACAGUUCCAUCAGUUUGGAAUCCAUCCAGGAGGCAGCAAUGCUCAGAUCAGGUGUUGUCGGAAACCCGUACCUGGCAGGAGGAUACCUGAUAGGAAGCUCCCUGCUGGGCUUCCUCAUCAUCAUCGGGGCCUUCUUGUACAAUCAACGCAAUCUCAGUCUUUUUAAAAGAUCCUGCAUCAUAUCCUUCACCUGCCAGGAAAACAGCCUCAUGGGUCUUCAACUCGUCUACAGCUGUCUGUUGACUCUGCUCACCAUGGAUGCUCUGAAUCUGAUCGUGGCAAUAAUCUUGGGAGCUACACUGGUUGCAUUGUCCUGCGAUGUAAUCAACUGUGUUCUGGCUGAAAACAUCUGGUUCCUGUCCAGGUGGUUUGGAGUGAUUAUUCAUCUUGUGAACGCCUCGUUGUCCAUCUAUAAUCUGCAUCAGCCACUGAGUGUAGCCAGGGUUCGCAUCGCCUACUCAUUGGUUUCUGUGGUGAUUAUCAUUAUGGUCCCACUUUUUCUGUAUGUCUACAACGUGCCCACAUUCACUUUGGCCGCUUUCAUGUUUCUGUUUGCUCUGUCCAUCAUUGUAGCAUCUAGAAGGCCUACCUUGUCCCCGUCCACUUCCACCCUGAAGAAACUGAUCAUGGUUGUUGCAAUGUGCAACUUCCUGGUUGUCUACGUCCCCACUUUCAUUCUUCAGUGCCUCGUGUACACCGCAGCCAAUGUUACCGACUUAGCGAAUUACCAAAAUAUUUAUUUUAAUGUUCUGUAUUUCACAAACCUUCAUCUCAUUUUCGAUGGACUCCAGUGUGCUUUGUUCCUGAAAUUGCCUUCUGGAGAAGAACAGCAACAGCAGCAACAACAACUGCAAGAGUGGCGCCAACAACAGUGGGAGCCACAACAGCAACAACAGUGGCGUCAACAAGAGCAACAACAGUGGCGUCAACAACAGUGGCAACCACAACAGCAACAACAGUGGCGUCAACAAGAGCAACAACAGUGGCGCCAACAACAGUGGCAACCACAACAGCAACAACAGUGGCAGCCACAACAGCAACAACAGUGGCGCCAACAACAGUGGCAACCACAACAGCAACAACAGUGGCGCCAACAACAGUGGCAACCACAACAGCAACAAAAGCUGGGUUUCCAAAAUGCAGGAUUCACUGGUUCUACAAAUGUAUAUCAAUAAUGAUCAAAAUUAUGUCUCUGCACCAUAAAAAUCAAUGUACAUCCCAACCACUGGUGGAUAACCUAGCGUUGUUUCACAAUUCAGAAUUCUUGCUGUCCUCAUGGAUUGUAUCUGUUGGACAGAAGGGUGCAGCUCCUGCUUUAUUCAUAUAAACCCUGAAAUCACAGAUGAAAAUCACCAUUUCACCCUCUCUGUCUGACUUAAAAUCCAGCAUGAAGCAAGAAGAAAUGUGUAAAUACUUCCAUAAUGUACAGGCAGUGGAGAGCUGUAUAAAAUACAGUUUACGGAAAUAGCAGCAACUUUGAAAACUUUUCAAAAUGAAACAUCUGUUCAAUAUGUUGGUUUGUUCAAUUACUUAAAGGCGGAGGGCACAUCUGAAAUAUGUUGUAGUUCCUACAACGUUUACCUGAUCUGGAUGUAAAUACCUUCAAAAUUAAAGCUGAAAGUCUGUAACUAAAGCACAUCUGGAUUGUUUCAUUUAAUGUCUUGGUCAUUUUUUUGGAUUGGAAAGUGAGGGGGCAAUUACUUUUUCACAUGGACAGUGUUUUCUUCAAAAAAAUAAUAAAAUCAAUCAGUCAAUUGAAAACUGCAUUUUUUGCUUUCUUGAGUUUUCUUUGUCUC